Molecule: long non-coding RNA, 2840 nt
Organism: Hippocampus comes (tiger tail seahorse)
Lineage: Eukaryota; Metazoa; Chordata; Actinopteri; Syngnathiformes; Syngnathidae
Exons: 2
Source: RefSeq, a predicted model, not a curated record
UCCUCUGAAAAGCCGAAUUGCGUGAGCAGUGCAAAAGGGGCUUUUGCUUCUGGAGUUGCGUUUCUGGUUGCACACGUGACAUUCGUGGCCAGCAAACAACACGUGUUUGUUCAGAUCUCUCUUCCACGGACUGUUCAGGAGCGUCUCCAGUUUUGCCUGAGGUCAUCCUCGGAGAACAGCCCUCUGUUUUUCCUGAUGAGGCUUAACCACGCCGCAAACGAGGACGCCAGCUUACUACUUCGACGAGGUGUUAUGAAACCGACUCUUUUGGAGGAUUACGCAGAAACAACAAUUUCAACCGCUCGAGAUCAAGCGGCUAUGAGCACUAUUUAGUUUCGGGACAAGGAGAAAUAUUCUCGGAGUUUUGUUGUUGGAAGACAAAGCAUCAGUUUUGAUCCAUGCUCCACACACACGCAUGCAUGCAUUCACAAAAACUCUUGCCAACUUGAGGUUGCUCAUUUGUCAAGUAUAUGUGGCUCAAAUUUGGUCAAAAUCUCGAACAAGAACCCUUAGGAGAUGACGAAAUAACAAACUUCCUGUGUGUUUUCCGACAUGGCUUCCUGAGAAUUUUUGGUGGGUCAGGUCAUAAUCGGACAUGUCUAGCAAAUUUCACGUCGCUAAAUAAAAGUGUCUUUGGGGGCUGCAUUUUUAACCAAUUUGAAAUGAACCAAAAUGACACGAAAAUGGCCACUUCAUACCAAAAUGGCAGACUUCCAGUGUCAUUAUGGUCAAAUCUUCUAAAGACUUUUUGGUGUGCUUACUCAUGACAUGCAAUAUGUUUACCAAGUUUCUUGUUGUCAAGUGAAACCGGCUGGGUGGGCUGAAUUUUGAAACAUUUCUGGGAGCCAAAUAGCAAAAAUGACCCUAAAACAGUCAGUUGGAUCUAAAAUGGGUCUUUUCAGACAGGACAUCUUCAGACUUUUUUUGCGGGUCUACUCAUGAUAGCCAGGCCUACCGUAUUUCAUGCUGUUCAGUCAAGCUGUUUUCAGAACCUGGAUUUUUAAUCAGAAUUCUAGAGGGUACCGCUGAUCCAAAAUGACCAAUUUGACCAAAAAUAGCUUUCUAUGUCUUCUCAGUAAUGCCUUUUGGAGAUUUUUUUUGGUUUGCCUACUCAUGAUAGACAAGUCUACCAAAUUUCAUGUUCCUGAGUGAACCUGGAUUCGGGGGGCUGAAAUUGUUUUGUUUUUUUAACUCCAAUGGAUGCUUGCAAGCUGGUUUUUAGUGAUCAGGCCUUCAAAAAUUCGCCAAAAGAAGCUGAAUUUCAUUUAUUUGGCCCACGAUUAAUCCUGAUGAAGAAAGACACCAAUUUUUGAGUUGCCUUCACUUUGCCCUAAGGAAAAAAAAGAAAAGAAAAAAAAAAAAGAUUCCAAUAAAAACCUGCAAAUCCAGCAACUUCUUAGCAGCCGUGUGCAAGCUUUGUGGGGAUUACAUCAUCAGAGGUUUGCGCAGUGGCGUCAAUGCGAGUUCUUCUCGAUUGGUGCUCAGGGGAAGGAGGAGUUGAUGAAGGAAGCUUGAGUGGAAGCACUUUCUCUCCUGUCUCACACUUUCUCCGAAAGCAUUUUGGAGUCGCUAUUUCUCCGCGAUAAACAUCUGGAGGAGAUUAGUUGAGGUACUGUCCGUGCAAAGUCGCAAAUUAUCAUUUUGCGAGUACACAUGGUCCUCGCGGCUCCAAAAGCCAAGAUACUUUUGAAGGACACAAAUGAGCCGGUUCAUGAAUUCCAUUGACGGCAGCCUCUUCUCAUUGUGAUAAUGACGUCGAAAUGUGAUUACAGUUGCUCUCUGCAUGACUCGGACAAAGAGUUGCCAUUUUUCGUAACUCUUCUGUAAAGAGCAGACUACUGGCAAAAACAUCAAGGUCAAAAAGGCAAAAAGGAGCUACAGUGUUGUUGGAUGCGCAAAUGAGCGUUAGGGCUGAUAUCCGGCACGUAAUCGCGCUUGAGAGGCUUUGAUGAAUGGUUGGGAUCAUUUAAACACCCGCCGAGUUUGAAGGGAAACACAUGGAAAGCGUCCACGCACAUGGAAUGCUCUGAAGCCGUUUCUCCAUUAUUCACCUAGCUUUCUAGCCAGCUUUUAUCUGUAUUCAGCCAGCUAUCAUUUUCAAUUUAGCGAGCUAGCUAGCUAGCUCUCUCUUUCUCUCUCUCUCGCUCUCUCUCAGAAACGAUAUUGAACUUGAGUGCAGUAAUGUUACUUAGCUAACGAUCUUUUUCAAUUUAGCGAGCUAGCAAGAUAGCUAGCUCUCUCUUUAUCUCUCUCUCUCUCUCUCUCUCUCUCUGAACGACAUUGAACUUGAGUGCAGUAAUGUUACUUAGUCCACGAUCUUUUUCAAUUUAGCGAGCUAGCAAGAUAGCUAGCGCUCUCUUUAUCUCUCUCUCUCUCUCUCUCUCUUUCUCUCUCUCAAACGAAUGUCGUACUUGAGUGCAGGAAUGUACAGUAUGUAGCCUAAGUAAGUCUUUGCGGUCUCCAGCCAUAAUGAUGACAUCGUUGACCACAUGCACACCCUUCAAGUGCGCCUAAAUGCGAGUGUCUCUGGAAAGGGCUCACUAUUACCACCCCCCCGCGAUCCUUUCAGCAGUGUUUUGGUGGCGUGUGCUGUCAGCUCGCAAAUGCACUCACUCGGCUCUCCAUCUCGGGGAGUCGCGCAGGGGGUAGCGUGGGGAGGGGGAAAUUUGCCAGAAGAGGUAAUGGCCAUUCAUGUAGCGUUAAAGCGAACCGACUGGGCAAACGCCUGAAAACCAGAAGCACUCUGCAGAGAGGGGGUGCAGCUUUUCAAUCAAAAAGUUGCUCUGGUGGUUUGGGUUUUAAGGCUAAUAGAUUACAAGAGGCCAGAUAAGCAGAAGAGA